This 471-nucleotide ribosomal RNA is filed under the name uncultured bacterium. RNAcentral describes it as "bacterial SSU rRNA". It matches the Rfam family "Bacterial small subunit ribosomal RNA", at positions 335 to 802 of the family's 1533-position model. The record is from RNAcentral.
ACUCCUACGGGAGGCAGCAGUGGGGAAUAUUGCACAAUGGGCGCAAGCCUGAUGCAGCCAUGCCGCGUGUGUGAAGAAGGCCUUCGGGUUGUAAAGCACUUUCAGUCGUGAGGAAGGUAGUGUAGUUAAUAGCUGCAGUAUUUGACGUUAGCGACAGAAGAAGCACCGGCUAACUCCGUGCCAGCAGCCGCGGUAAUACGGAGGGUGCGAGCGUUAAUCGGAAUUACUGGGCGUAAAGCGCAUGCAGGUGGUUUGUUAAGUCAGAUGUGAAAGCCCGGGGCUCAACCUCGGAAUAGCAUUUGAAACUGGCAGACUAGAGUACUGUAGAGGGGGUAGAAUUUCAGGUGUAGCGGUGAAAUGCGUAGAGAUCUGAAGGAAUACCGGUGGCGAAGGCGGCCCCUGGACAGAUACUGACACUCAGAUGCGAAAGCGUGGGAGCAAACAGGAUUAGAUACCCCUGGUAGACUGUCA